CAGCUUGCUGGGUGGAUCAGUGGCGAACGGGUGAGUAACACGUGAGCAACCUGCCCCUGACUCUGGGAUAAGCGCUGGAAACGGCGUCUAAUACUGGAUACGAGACGUGAUCGCAUGGUCAACGUUUGGAAAGAUUUUUCGGUUGGGGAUGGGCUCGCGGCCUAUCAGCUUGUUGGUGAGGUAAUGGCUCACCAAGGCGUCGACGGGUAGCCGGCCUGAGAGGGUGACCGGCCACACUGGGACUGAGACACGGCCCAGACUCCUACGGGAGGCAGCAGUGGGGAAUAUUGCACAAUGGGCGCAAGCCUGAUGCAGCAACGCCGCGUGAGGGAUGACGGCCUUCGGGUUGUAAACCUCUUUUAGCAGGGAAGAAGCGAGAGUGACGGUACCUGCAGAAAAAGCACCGGCUAACUACGUGCCAGCAGCCGCGGUAAUACGUAGGGUGCAAGCGUUAUCCGGAAUUAUUGGGCGUAAAGAGCUCGUAGGCGGUUUGUCGCGUCUGCUGUGAAAUCUGGGGGCUCAACCCCCAGCCUGCAGUGGGUACGGGCAGACUAGAGUGCGGUAGGGGAGAUUGGAAUUCCUGGUGUAGCGGUGGAAUG
Molecule: ribosomal RNA, 599 nt
Filed under: Microbacterium sp. enrichment clone CRT11
Lineage: Bacteria; Bacillati; Actinomycetota; Actinomycetes; Micrococcales; Microbacteriaceae
Description: bacterial SSU rRNA
Rfam family: Bacterial small subunit ribosomal RNA
Source: RNAcentral